CAGUAGGGAAUCUUCCACAAUGGGCGCAAGCCUGAUGGAGCAACACCGCGUGAGUGAAGAAGGGUUUCGGCUCGUAAAGCUCUGUUGUUGGAGAAGAACGUGCGUGAGAGCAACUGUUCACUCAGUGACUGUCUCUAACCAGAAAGUCACGGCUAACUACGUGCCAGCACCCGCGGUAAUACGUAGGUGGCCAGCGUUAUCCGGCUUUAUUGGGCGUAAAGCGAGCGCAGGGGGGUGGCUAGGUCUGAUGUGAAAGCCUUCGGCUUAACCGAAGGAGUGCAGCGGAAACCGGGCGACUUGAGUGGAGAAGAGGACAGGGGAACUCCAGGUGUAGCGGUGGAAUGCGUAGAUAUAUGGAAGAACACCAGUGGCGAAGGCGGCUGUCUGGUCUGCAACUGACGCUGAGGCUCGAAAGCAUGGGUAGCGAACAGGAUUAGAUACCCCAGUAGUC
Molecule: ribosomal RNA, 451 nt
Filed under: uncultured bacterium
Lineage: Bacteria
Description: partial 16S ribosomal RNA
Rfam family: Bacterial small subunit ribosomal RNA
Source: RNAcentral